AGUGAACGCUGGCGGUAGGCCUAACACAUGCAAGUCGAACGGCAGCACAGGAGAGCUUGCUCUCUGGGUGGCGAGUGGCGGACGGGUGAGGAAUACAUCGGAAUCUACUCUGUCGUGGGGGAUAACGUAGGGAAACUUACGCUAAUACCGCAUACGACUUACGGGUGAAAGCAGGGGACCUUCGGGCCUUGCGCGAUUGAAUGAGCCGAUGUCGGAUUAGCUAGUUGGCGGGGUAAAGGCCCACCAAGGCGACGAUCCGUAGCUGGUCUGAGAGGAUGAUCAGCCACACUGGAACUGAGACACGGUCCAGACUCCUACGGGAGGCAGCAGUGGGGAAUAUUGGACAAUGGGCGCAAGCCUGAUCCAGCCAUACCGCGUGGGUGAAGAAGGCCUUCGGGUUGUAAAGCCCUUUUGUUGGGAAAGAAACCCAGCUGGCUAAUACCCGGUUGGGAUGACGGUGCCCAAAGAAUAAGCACCGGCUAACUUCGUGCCAGCAGCCGCGGUAA
Molecule: ribosomal RNA, 506 nt
Filed under: uncultured bacterium
Lineage: Bacteria
Description: partial 16S ribosomal RNA
Rfam family: Bacterial small subunit ribosomal RNA
Source: RNAcentral